UACGUAGGGGGCAAGCGUUAUCCGGAUUUAUUGGGCGUAAAGAGCGCGUAGGCGGUCUGUUAAGCGAGAUGUGAAAACCGGGGGCUCAACCCGCGGCCUGCAUCUCGAACUGGCAGACUUGGGUCUGGUAGAGGAAAGUGGAAUUCCUGGUGUAGCGGUGAAAUGCGCAGAUAUCAGGAGGAACACCAGUGGCGAAGGCGGCUUUCUGGGCCACGACUGACGCUGAGGCGCGAAAGCUAGGGGAGCGAACAGGAUUAGAUACCCUGGUAGUCCUAGCCGUAAACGAUGGGCACUAGGUGUGGGGGGUCAUCGACUCCCUCCGUGCCGAAGCUAACGCAUUAAGUGCCCCGCCUGGGGAGUACGGCCGCAAGGCUAAA
This 377-nucleotide ribosomal RNA is filed under the name uncultured bacterium. RNAcentral describes it as "bacterial SSU rRNA". It matches the Rfam family "Bacterial small subunit ribosomal RNA", at positions 524 to 898 of the family's 1533-position model. The record is from RNAcentral.